This 499-nucleotide ribosomal RNA is filed under the name uncultured organism. Its description in RNAcentral is "bacterial SSU rRNA". It matches the Rfam family "Bacterial small subunit ribosomal RNA", at positions 29 to 507 of the family's 1533-position model. The record is from RNAcentral.
AGCGAACGCUGGCGGCGUGCUUAACACAUGCAAGUCGAACGUGAAAUGUAGCAAUACAGAGUAAAGUGGCGUACGGGUGAGUAACACGUGGGUAAUCUACCAAAGUGCCUGGAAUAACCGGCCGAAAGGCUGGCUAAUACUAGAUAGUUCAAGCGAAUCGUAAAUGGUUCGAUUGGGAAAGGGAGCGGGUAACCGCCUUCACAUUUUGAUGAGCCCGCGUCUGAUUAGCUAGUUGGUAGGGUAAUGGCCUACCAAGGCUGUGAUCAGUAGCUGGUCUGAGAGGAUGAUCAGCCACACUGGAACUGAAACACGGUCCAGACUCCUACGGGAGGCAGCAGUGGGGAAUCUUGCGCAAUGGACGAAAGUCUGACGCAGCCACGCCGCGUGAGUGAAGAAGGCCUUCGGGUUGUAAAGCUCUGUCGGAGGGGACAAAAACUGGAUUGGUUAAUAGCCUUUUCAAUUGAUGGUACCCUCAAAGGAAGCACCGGCUAACUUCGUG